RNA transcript from Orcinus orca (killer whale), 11067 nucleotides. It is a transcript of the gene named meiosis regulator for oocyte development, with no coding region annotated. NCBI's taxonomy places the organism in Eukaryota, Metazoa, Chordata, Mammalia, Artiodactyla, Delphinidae. The record is from RefSeq and is a predicted model, not a curated record. The transcript is spliced from 14 exons.
GCGGGCGAGCGAGGGGCGGGGCUCGUAGCAGGUAACUCCCCUUCCCAGGCCCAGGCAAGUCCGCGCGUCUGCGAGGCGCGGUGGUCGGGUAGUGGACCCUGGUCCUGUGGCCCCGGUUACUGACCGCGUCGUGCGGCCGCCAUCUUGCCGGCGUGUGGACCACCCCCGUCGGGAGGGGCUGCGACUAGGCCGGAAGCGGCAGUACGAAGGCAGCGCUGCCUGCCAGGUCGUGCUGUUAUAGAUGUUCUGGUGAGGAACACAGAAUCAUCAUCAUGGCUUUCCUUUGCUCAGAAACCAUUGAUGGGAAGUGAGUGCUUGUUAUACUUGAAGAUUUUCAGUGAAUGGACCUAACUGCACUCUUUGAGAUCAUCAGUAAGCAUGAGUGGUACCAAACCUGAUAUAUUGUGGGCACCACACCAGGUUGAUAGAUUUGUUGUAUGUGACUCAGAACUUAGCCUUUAUCACGUGGAAUCUACUGUGAAUUCAGAAUUCAAAGCUGGAUCUCUACGUUUAUCUGAAGACUCUGCAGCUACGUUACUCUCAAUAAAUUCAGAAACACCCUAUAUGAAAUGUGUUGCCUGGUAUCUCAAUUAUGAUCCUGAAUGUCUCCUAGCAGUUGGACAAGCAAAUGGUAGAGUUGUACUUACAAGUCUUGGUCAAGAUCAUAACUCAAAGUUCAAAGAUUUGAUAGGAAAAGAGUUUGUUCCAAAACAUGCACGACAAUGCAAUACUCUUGCAUGGAAUCCAUUGGAUAGUAACUGGCUUGCUGCUGGUCUAGAUAAACAUAGAGCUGACUUUUCAGUGCUGAUUUGGGACAUCUGCAGCAAAUACACGCCUGAUAUAGUUCCCAUGGAGAAAGUAAGACUUUCGGCAGGUGAAACUGAAACAACAUUAUUAGUAACAAAACCACUUUAUGAAUUAGGACAGAAUGAUGCUUGUCUCUCUCUUUGUUGGCUUCCACGAGACCAGAAACUUCUCCUUGCUGGUAUGCAUCGUAACCUAGCCAUUUUUGAUCUUCGGAAUACAAGCCAAAAGAUGUUUGUGAAUACAAAAGCUGUUCAGGGCGUGACAGUAGACCCAUACUUCCAUGAUCGUGUUGCUUCCUUUUAUGAAGGUCAGGUUGCAAUAUGGGAUCUUAGGAAAUUUGAGAAGCCAGUUUUGACUUUGACUGAGCAACCAAAGCCCUUAACAAAAGUAGCAUGGUGUCCAACUAGGACUGGUCUGCUUGCCACUUUAACAAGGGAUAGUAAUAUUAUUAGAUUAUAUGAUAUGCAGCACACACCCACUCCCAUUGGAGAUGAAACUGAACCCACAAUAAUUGAAAGAAGUGUGCAACCUUGUGACAAUUACAUUGCCUCCUUUGCUUGGCAUCCAACAAGUCAAAAUCGAAUGAUAGUUGUAACUCCCAACCGAACAAUGUCUGACUUCACUGUUUUUGAAAGGAUCUCUCUUGCCUGGAGCCCAAUUACAUCUUUAAUGUGGGCUUGUGGUCGUCAUUUGUAUGAAUGUGCGGAAGAAGAAAAUGAUAAUUCUUUAGAAAAAGAUAUAGCAACGAAGAUGCGCCUUCGGGCUUUAUCAAGGUACGGACUUGAUACAGAACAGGUGUGGAGAAACCAUAUUUUAGCGGGAAAUGAAGAUCUACAGCUCAAGUCACUCUGGUAUACUCUGCACUUUAUGAAGCAGUAUACAGAAGAUAUGGAUCAGAAAUCUCCAGGCAACAAAGGAUCAUUGGUUUAUUCAGGAAUUAAAUCAAUUGUAAAAUCAUCUUUGGGAAUGGUAGAAAGCAGCAGACAUAAUUGGAGUGGGUUGGAUAAGCAAACUGAUAUUCAGAAUUUAAAUGAAGAGAGAAUCUUAGCUUUACAGCUUUGUGGGUGGAUAAAGAAAGGAACGGAUGUCGACGUGGGGCCAUUUUUGAACUCCCUUGUACAAGAAGGGGAAUGGGAGAGAGCUGCCGCUGUGGCAUUGUUCAACUUGGAUAUUCGACGAGCAAUCCAGAUCCUGAAUGAAGGGGCAUCUUCAGAAAAAGGUGAUCUGAAUCUUAAUGUGGUAGCAAUGGCUUUAUCGGGUUAUACAGAUGAGAAGAACUCACUUUGGAGAGAAAUGUGCAGCACUUUACGAUUACAGUUAAACAACCCGUAUCUGUGUGUCAUGUUUGCAUUUCUGACAAGUGAAACAGGAUCUUAUGAUGGAGUAUUGUAUGAAAACAAAGUUGCGGUACGUGACAGAGUGGCAUUUGCUUGUAAAUUUCUUAGUGAUAGUCAGUUAAAUAGGUACAUCGAAAAGUUGACCAAUGAAAUGAAAGAGGCUGGAAAUUUGGAAGGAAUACUGCUUACAGGCCUUACUAAAGAUGGAGUGGACUUAAUGGAGAGUUAUGUUGACCGAACUGGAGAUGUACAAACAGCAAGUUACUGCAUGUUACAGGGCUCUCCCUUAGAUGUUCUUAAAGAUGAAAGAGUUCAGUACUGGAUUGAGAAUUAUAGAAAUUUAUUAGAUGCCUGGAGGUUUUGGCACAAACGAGCUGAAUUUGAUAUUCACAGGAGUAAGUUGGAUCCCAGUUCUAAGCCUUUAGCACAGGUGUUUGUGAGUUGCAAUUUUUGUGGAAAGUCUAUCUCCUACAGCUGCUCAACUGUGCCCCAUCAGGGCAGAGGUUUUAGUCAGUAUGGUGUCAGUGGCUCACCAACAAAAUCUAAAGUCACAAGUUGCCCUGGCUGUCGAAAACCCCUUCCUCGAUGUGCACUUUGCCUCAUCAAUAUGGGAACACCUGUUUCUAGUUGUCCUGGAGGCUCCAAAUCAGAUGAAAAAGUAGACUUGAGCAAAGACAAAAAAUUAGCUCAGUUUAACAACUGGUUUACAUGGUGUCACAAUUGCAGACACGGUGGGCAUGCUGGACACAUGCUUAGUUGGUUCAGGGAUCAUGCCGAGUGUCCUGUGUCUGCAUGCACGUGUAAAUGUAUGCAGUUGGAUACAACAGGGAAUCUGGUACCUGCAGAGACUGUCCAGCCAUAAAAUGUUAUCCCCUAAAGAGGAACCUUCAAGUGUGGAGCUUUCUGAUAGAUGUCCUUCAUAGCUCAGAAACAUACCUCAGAACAAGUCACUCAUGACUUCCCUGUAAUGGGAAAAUAAAUCAUUCUAUCAAAUCACCAAUUUGAUGUUUGAAUGAUUUUGAUGUACUUCACAGAGACAAAUGCUGCUGAAAUGAACAGAGUGUGGGCAUGAAUUCUGUUCAGUAGGUUGGAAAAGUUCAUUUUGGAAAGAACUUUUUAGGGUUUUGUUGAAAUUAUGAACACUGUGCAAACAGAGUUUCUGGAGUGACCAAGAACAGACCUUGAAACCAUACUUUUUAUGUUGCAAUUGGUUAUCUUUCAGUAAAAUCUGUACACUUUUAAAAUAGAAUAAUAUGCCCAAUUCAGUGAUUCAGACAGUAGUUUAAGCUUACUCAUGCUUAGAUUCCUUCCAGAUUAAAUUUAAAUUGUGGAUUUUUACUUUUAGAAUUAGAAAGCCCCCUACCCUACACUGGAGAAUUAUUUAUCAAGGUAUGAUUGAUAUAUAUAUUUUUAAGGAGUCUCUUCUCUCAUACACUUUCAUUUUAAGAUAAGAAAUCUUUUGGCACAGACAUUUAUUGUCUUCCAAAGAAAAGUCAAAAUUAAGAAUGUAUCUUACAACUUUUUCUCUUCUGAGGAGAAAAAUAUGCACCAUUUCAAGGAAACGUAUAAAAUUUUCCUUUUCAACCUUUUGCUUUCCAAUGUCCUUAUUUGUCUUCAAAGAUUUCUGUCCCUGUUAAUUUAUCAUCUUAUGCUCAUCAUCUGGAAGCAUUUGGCUGAAUACAAAGUGUAUACAAGUCUAUAUGUGACCAACCAUUCAGCAUAAUCUACGUCACUAUGUCCUACUGUCGGAUUCCCUCUUGCAGAAUAUCCUGUUUUUUCUAAGGUAGACUUUGAGAUGUUGGGGAAACCAGAGUCACUUUGGAGAUAAUUUCACCUUUAAUGUAAGUUUCUUAAAGUAAGUAUAUUUGGUCCAAUUUAGGGACUUUAUUUUCAAAUUUUAUUUUUUCCCUUUUCACAGCUAGAUAGUUGGAAGAGAAAUACAAAGGAUUUGUAGCAUCAUCUGACAUAUGCAGAGGACUGAACUGAAUUUCAUAGUUGAAGUUGUACUUAUAGAAAAAUAAAAAGUAAGCCUAAAAAUUAUCUUACAGAUUUUGAAGAAAGAAAUAUCUUAAACAAGAAUUUUAGAAGCUUUCACGUUAGGAAUUUUACCUGGUAAAACUAAGAUCUGUUAGAUUAAUUUGAGGUAUGACUUAAAUCCUGAACAAAGGUGGAUUAAAUUUAUUUUUUACUUUGAGAUCUAUUACAAAAGUCUCUUUUCUAGGAAAACAUUGCAUAUCUACUCUAAACAUCUCAUCUAGAUGACAAUCUUUUGUUUAAAAGAAAGAACUGGGAAUAGUUACAAUCUUUUUUUUUUUUUUAAACAAAGAUUGUUAUUAAGGGGACUUUUUCCAGUCUUCUAAGUAAAUCUUACUGAUUUCAUUUUACUAAAACAUAACCUUUACCUUUAAAGUUGCUUCAGUUGAAGUGUUUCUUUCAAAUUUGCUCUGUCCAAAAUAUGAAAAGUCAGCUUUAGUGUCAAACUGUUAUAUACAUUUUCAUUUCUCCUUAGCUAAAGUAAGGUAAAUUUUUGAAUUGAUGUUUAGAAUAGGGUUAUAUCUAAAAUACUUAUAAUUUUUGGAAGUACAAUAUAAGACAUAAGCAUAAAGUCUAUUAUAUAAUCUGCUUGUAAUCACAGGAUGACAUUUUUAAGAAUAACUUUAUGCCUGUGUCAGCCUUCUAAUAUUUUCUGUGAAACCCAAAUAUUCAUAUAAGAUGUCUAUUAUGCUUGUUUUGCAUUUUAUUGUAUGUGGAACAUGAAAAUAGACUAAUUUUUUCAUUUUUAUUACUUGGUCACUAAUAUUUGGGUUUAUAAACUCAACGAGAUAUUUUACCUAAACAUGUUCAAUAGAAGUGUUUAAUAAAAGUGUUUUAUUAUUUUUUUAAAUUGAAUAAAAAUGGAUUGAAGUCGACAUGUCUAAUCUAGAAAUUAUCUAUGACCACUCUGCAAAUAAUCCAAUAAAAUAAUAAAAUAGUAGUUAUUUUGAUGGCAAAUUUGAUUCUUAGUCUUAGAAGUAACUUUUUUAUAGACUCUGUUUUUCAGCUUUCCAGAAUGGUUAUUAUUCAUUAAAAUGGUAUAUUUAAAAAGUAUCUUUCCAUUGUCAGUGCUACACCCAGUAAGUAUUAGAGUGAGAAACAAAUAGUCCUGCAUUUAAUUGCAUGGCUGGAUGUAAUUUCAGUCACUCAUUUGACUGCAGAUAUUCAAAGUAUGGGUUUUGAAAUUUAAAUUAUAAUCCUAGUCCCAGUAUCUUGGCCAAGUGGCUUGACCUUUUUGAGCUUCAAUUUCCUAAUAUGUUAAAAGGUAUAGAAAUUCCUACCUCAUAGGGUGAUUGGGCAUGUUAGGUGAUGAAAUAAACAUGAAGUGUUAUAUCCGUCGCAUAAUGCUCUGUAAAAGGUAGUGCUUAACAGUCAUUGUUACCUAAUCUUUAUUGGUUACUCAUGUGUCAGCACUUUUUAAUUGAAUAUGGUAUAAUUUAAACAAAGUAUGUACAUUUACAUUUGUCUCAGUAGUGAAAAUUUCCCAAGAGCUUGUUUUUCCAAAUCUGGAUAAAUUAUGGCAUUUUCUUUUGAGAUAGAACUUAGCUACUUUUGUUUAUCCUGUAUUUAGAAUAUUACUUUCUGCUGUAUGAAGAAGUCCUCUGAACAACCACCUAGGAUUUUAAUGUGAUACAAGAGUGAACCCAGGGAUGAAAAUUAAAAUUUUGGUAAAUCUGGACCGUUGACCAGUAACCAUUGAAAACUUGAACUUUUCAUAUCUAUAUUCAACUCUUAAGUCCUGGCCUUCAUAGGAGAAAAUAUCCAGUAUUUUCCCAGUAAAAUCCUUCCUUUUCUGCCAUUCUGUUACACUUGAUGUUCAUUUAAGUAAAAAUGUUGGGAGGAUGGUGAUAAUAAAAAAGGAAGUACACUGUGAGGUUUGUUCUCGUUCGGGAUAGCUGUAGUUAAGACAAGUGGGCACUAAGUAGUUGUACACGUCUAACAUCUGCUCAGAGGUGUCAGAGAGAGGGGAGAGGCAUUUUAGGUGUUAGUUCAACAUCCUUGUAUAGAGGGCCUGUGACCCCCAUGGCCAUGGCAGAGAUGGGGCUAGCUGGACAACUGCUCAUCUAGCCACUACUCUCCCAUUACAUCAUCUGCCUAUUCUUCCCUCCUACUUGAAAAUUUUGUAGGUUUCUUUACUGAUUUUAGAAAGCACUUUAUGAAAAUAUUAAUCUUUAUAAAGUAUUAAUUUUUUACUAGAGUAUAUAGACAGAAGGAAAGUUCCCGAAAUGUUUUUAAAAGAUAGUGUAAUCCAGGUAUCAGAUUAACAUAGGUUGCCAAAACAAAGAACUGAUUUCAUUUAGGAAUAUUCAUGAUAAAUUCAUAAGUAAAGUCAAUAUCUAAUCCAACAGUAUAUUACUGAGAACAGUAGUUACUGUUGGUGCUUAUUAUUUGCCAGGUACCAUGCACAUUAUCCUGUUUAAUCCUCACUGUAGCCCUGUGAGGCAGAUACACUAUUACUGCUCCCAUUCUACACAUGAGGCAAUUAAGGCAUAGGGACAUUAGGUCACUUGUCCUAGGUUAUACAGCUAAUAAAUAGCAGAGCCAACCUAGACUCCAGUAGUCUGACUUCCCAAUCUGUACUUUUAAUUACUGUUUUAUACUUCCACGUCCUACUUUAUGGACUGUGUAUAGGAGAAUAAUUCACUAUGACAAUUGAGGGUUUAUUAUAUUUAGUAUUAAUACACCAAAAGAGAAAAAACAUGUCAGUGGCUCUUUGGAUGUAAAAAGCAGUUGAUAAAAUCCAAAAAUUGAUUCCUGAUUUGUUCUUUAGAUUUAGUUUUUAUCAUGAAAAGGAAAUGUUUUUCUUCAUUUUUUUUCCCCUUCUUUUUUACUGUCUGUCUCAAACAGCCAGCAUCAACGCAGUGGGGAAAUAAUAGGAAUAAAACAAGGAUCAAGUGGUUACCGUUGGUUCUGCACAUAGCAGUGCAGAAGAGGGAAGUGGAGGGAGGCACACCCUUGCUUCUCUUCCAAGUCUUUAAAGUUUGGUAUGGCAAAAAUACCAUAAAGAGUUAAAAGGCAAGCAAACUGGUAAGCUACAACAUGCAUACAAAUUUAAUACCCUUAAUUCACAAAGACGUUCUGAAACCCAUAAGGAAAAGACACAACCAAUGGAUAAUAUUGAUCAAGGACUUGUACAGCCAAAAUAAAAUGGCCAACAAACAUAAAUAAAUGUUAAAUUGGUAAUAAAGUAAUGCUGAUUAAAACGACAGCAGGAUACUGUUCACUUGCCUGUGUAAAUUAAAAGGAAUAAUAUGUAUUUUCAUGGAUAUGGGAAAGGAACAUUCUCAAAUAACAACUUGUGAGAGUGUGUUAUUAGUACAAGUGUUCCUGAGGACAGUGAGUAAUAUGUAUCAAAAGCCUUAAAAAGCUUCAUACCCUUUGACAUAGUAUAUUGGAAAUAUUUUCUGAGGGAUUAAUUGGAUAAGUACACAAAGGUGUAUGUUUCUAUGAAAUGGUUAUCACAGUAUUUUUUAUAAUAACUUGGAAGCCUAAAUGUUCAAUAAUAAGAGUAAAGAAAUUGUCACAUACAUACAAUGGAAUACUAACUAUUCAAAUAGUAUGGGUAUUUUUAUUGACAAAGGACGAUUCAUGAUAUAUUUAUAAAUGGAGGGAAAGGCAAGUUAUAGGAUAGUAUAUAUAGAAUAUAUUUGUAUGGAACACUAUUGGAGAAUAUAAAAUUUUAACAGUGGCCAUCUUUCAAGAAUAGAAUUUUUUUUAAAAUUUUAUUUAUUUAUUUAUUUAUGGCUGUGUUGGGUCUUCGUUUCUGUGCGAGGGCUUUCUCUAGUUGCAGCAAGUGGGGGCCACUCUUAAUCGCGGUGCGCGGGCCUCUCACUAUCACGGCCUCUCUUGUUGCGGAGCACAGGCUCCAGACGCGCAGGCUCAGUAAUUGUGGCUCACGGGCCUAGUUGCUCCACGGCAUGUGGGAUCUUCCCAGACCAGGUCUCAAACCCGUGUCCCCUGCAUUGGCAGGCAGAUUCUCAACCACUGCGCCACCAGGGAAGCCCAAGAAUAGAAUUUUAAGUGGCAUUUUUCUUAUCUGCAUCUUCUAGUUUUUCUACAAUAAUGAUGAAUGUAUAAAUAAAUGAAUAUGCAUAUCACACACACGUUAGUGGCUUUUAUAAAAGUUACCCAUGACCUGUUAUCUUGUUCUUACCAUAAUGAACAAUCAAAUUAUUAUGAGGUGAAGAAACUUGCUAUAAGGUAUUAUGAAAAUUAUUACUGAGAUUUAAUUAUUUGGAAAGCAUUUUUCUAGAUUUCAUAUUCUACAGUAAUAUAUAAGAAUAAUAAACAGAUGUGGUUCUUUCUCUUAAUUGUCUCUUUUGUCAUAUUUGGAAACAGUGCAUUUUGUUCUCCAUUUAACACAUUGGGAAAUGGAUCUAUAAAAUAGUUCUGAUAUUCCUGAGGUAGUAUUACAUAAUUAAUGACUUUGUUUCAAUCUUCUCUCUCCUAGAUGUUCCUCAGGAUAUUUUCUGACUCCUCUGUUUUGGCUCUGGGCCUGUGGCAGGACACCUGUCCUCUGUGUUUAGAAUUUAGUUAAUUAUUGUCCAAUGCAGUGUAGAGUGCAUUUUACUCAACUCAUUUCCAAUAAUUUAACAAGCUACUUAUGUUUAAGUGAUGAAUUCUGAACAUGCCUGCAUGUCCAUGCUUCCAUCAAAGAACCAAGCAUUAGCGUGCCUACAUGCGCCAGACAUUUAAGGUUAUGAUUUCAAAGGAUUGAUGGCACCAUCUUUACCUUGGAGGAGCUGUAAUAUCUAAUGGAAGAGCCAUAUACUUUGCUGGUGACAGUUCAAGAAGUUGCCACUGCCAGACAUGUGCAUUCACCUACAGUACCCCAUCAGCAACUGAACACUUUCAUCUCUGGGAUAAAUGAUUAAUGAGUUGUCUAUCAUUUCCACUCCUUUUGUACCAAGUGGUAGAGGCUUCAGUUGAUCAUAUUGCAGCCAUCAGCAUCAUUACUGAAAUUGAUUCUGCCAUGGGAGGGUUAUGCUAGGACAAUAGAUUAGCAUUUAAAUAAACGAACUAAUUUAUGGCAUUAAAAAUUACAUAAACUAAUCCCUCUGAGUCACUCUGUCGCACCUGGUAAGGUUGUUUUGUUUUGUUUUUGCUGAUUAGCUACCAUCAUAAAACCUUAGGUUGAGGAAAGAAGGAUGGAAGGCACAGAAGUUGAGUUGUUCUUGUUUUGAGUACAACCCUCUAAGAUUUCCAAACUUCCCACUCUCUUUAUUAAUCACUGUCAUGUAUAUGAAAUACAUUUAUGAAAUUACACAACUUGCAUGCAAUGAUGAACAGUAAACUUGCCAAAUCAUUGCCUUUAGAGAAAAAGUAAAGGGGUAAACACAUUUUUGAAAGGCCAGAAUUAGUCCAGAAAGGAAAGUAGUUGGAGGAUUGAGAUUGACAAAUGAUACUCAGAUACAGUGAAAUGAAACUUUUCUAAUUUUUCAGCAAGCAGAUGCGAGAAUGAGGAGAUAAGAACAUCACAAUUUAGAUGUCUUGGUGAUGUGGGCUGCAUUUCUAAAACAGAUGGUGGAGAAUGAGGGUCGGCAUAGGCCUAGAAAAAAGUGAUAGAUUGUAGUUUUGGUAAAGUGUUAUACUCAAGGAAAAUAACUGGAACUUAGAACUUCUAUUUUAGCAUCUCUUUCUCCUCCUGGGAUAACUGCCUGAGAGUUGUCAAUAUUACUGAACUUAAACUUCCCCUCAGUUACUUUUGUGUUCCAGCAUAUGACUUUUUUGUCCAUUCCUCUUAUAUUUUCCCAUUUUUUCCUGUCUGCUCUCUUCUGAAUUUCAUGAGACCAACUGUUUAAUCUACUUCUGAAUUAAGACAACUACCUGAAAUUAUAUUGGUCAAAGUGCAUGUGCAUUUUCUUCAGAGCUGAGACUGGUUGUACAGUGAAAUGGAGCCAUCGUAGGUUUUUCUCAGUCCAGCUGCUUCUGCCCUAUAUUGAUUAAGAUUCUUUCCAGAUUCUAAUAGUGAGGCUGUGGGUGAUGGCAUUGUUAGUUUUCAUCUUUUUUCUGGUAUGUGUAUAUUUUAAGAAGCUAGAAGAGGCAGCUUUGAGUACUGCUAAGUAGAGGACAUGUUUACCCAACAGUGAUAUAAAUAACUGAGACUUGUAUUCUGGAAAGUGGGCAGAAUAUGAUUUCAGUAAGAGGGAACAUUGUUGUGAUAUGGGAAAAACCAAACCAAACCAAACCAAACAAAACAAAACAUGGGAACGUGAAUUCUACAAGUGGCCCAAUAACAAACUUCCUUUAUAUGUUAAAAUUCCCCAAUGACAAAUGACUCUUUUCAGUCACAGUGAGAUGAACAGGUUAGGCUAAGAUGUGCUCGAUCUGGAGAUGAGCGAGUGACUAUGCCCUUCUUUACCCUCGACACAAGUUGCUACUCAAUUACGCUCUUUUUCUCAGAACCUUUUCCGCAUUGUAUUGGAGGCAGCAACUACCAACUAGUCAGCAUUCACCUGUUUGCCAUUUUUAGCCCUAAAAUUUGGUAUGCCCUGACCAUUUUUUACUAAAAUGCGUGGGGGUUAAAACUCUAACAAUUCAUGAUUUUAAGUAUUUCAUGAGUCAUUUUUGUCUGUAUACUGAGUCUAUCUAAGUAGAAAUUACCUAUUUCCUAGUUGUAAUAUAUGGUAUAUAUAAUUGUAGUAUGUUGUUACAAUUAUAUAUAUAAUACAUAAAUAUAAUACAUUGUAUAUAAAUAAUAUUGUAUAAAUGUUGUACAGUGUUUGUUAUACAAUAUUAUUUUGCGAUGUAUAUUGUAAUAUGCUGUAAUAUAUUCAAGCCUUAUUUGAAUAAAACUCUUAUUUGCAUGCCCACAUGCUUAUGAAUGGAAAUUAAUAAAUUUGUUUCCUAGUAACAGCAGUUUCCGUAGCCAAUAAACACUUAAAUAUUU